AUUGAACGCUGGCGGCAGGCCUAACACAUGCAAGUCGAGCGAGCGGCGGACGGGUGAGUAAUGUCUGGGAAACUGCCUGAUGGAGGGGGAUAACUACUGGAAACGGUAGCUAAUACCGCAUACCAUCAGAUGUGCCCAGAUGGGAUUAGCUAGUAGGUGGGGUAAAGGCUCACCUAGGCGACGAUCCCUAGCUGGUCUGAGAGGAUGACCAGCCAGACGGGAACUGAGACACGGUCCAGACUCCUACGGGAGGCAGAAGUGGGGAAUAUUGCACAAUGGGCGCAAGCCUGAUGCAGACAUGCCGAGUGUGUGAAGAAGGCCUUCGGGUUGUAAAGCACUUUCAGCGGGGAGGCGUUACUCGCAGAAGAAGCACCGGCUAACUCCGUGCCAGCAGCCGCGGUAAUAC
RNAcentral lists this ribosomal RNA (406 nucleotides) under uncultured bacterium. RNAcentral describes it as "partial 16S ribosomal RNA". It matches the Rfam family "Bacterial small subunit ribosomal RNA", at positions 30 to 526 of the family's 1533-position model. The record is from RNAcentral.